Long non-coding RNA from Patella vulgata (common limpet), 405 nucleotides. RefSeq lists it as uncharacterized. Lineage: Eukaryota; Metazoa; Mollusca; Gastropoda; Patellidae. The record is from RefSeq and is a predicted model, not a curated record. The transcript has 3 exons.
AUGUUUACGUUAGGUAUUUAACCCAUUUCACCGAAUAAAACAGGUUUGUCAUUUUAGUUUCGUGGAAAAUUCCUAUCAGUUAUCGUAUAAAAAGCCUUGAAAUACAAAUAAAUUUAACAGAACGAUAUCAAACUUAGACGGUGUGAAAUAGUUUGUAUUGAUUUCUGUAAAGCAAAAUGGCCGUACAACUACGUUUGGUAGUUCCUGGAAUAUUUUUUGUCUUGAUGUGUCUUAUUGGAACCGAGGCAUUGUGGUCUAAUAAUGCUGUUUGUGGUGGUAGAAGAUAUUCUACUACAUUUAAGAUGUGUUGUGGUGGACAAAUUAACUCCAGAUCUGGUAUAAGUCCAGCUUGUUGUGGUACGCGCAGUUACGAUUCAAAGUUUAGGAUGUGUUGUGGGGGACAAA